GACGAACGCUGGCGGCGUGCUUAACACAUGCAAGUCGAACGGAAAGGCACUGCUUUUGUGGGGUGCUCGAGUGGCGAACGGGUGAGUAACACGUGAGUAACCUGCCCUUGACUUUGGGAUAACUUCAGGAAACUGGGGCUGAUACCGGAUAGGAGCUCCUGCUGCAUGGUGGGGGUUGGAAAGUUUCGGCGGUUGGGGAUGGACUCGCGGCUUAUCAGCUUGUUGGUGGGGUAGUGGCUUACCAAGGCUUUGACGGGUAGCCGGCCUGAGAGGGUGACCGGCCACAUUGGGACUGAGAUACGGCCCAGACUCCUACGGGAGGCAGCAGUGGGGAAUAUUGCACAAUGGGCGGAAGCCUGAUGCAGCAACGCCGCGUGCAGGAUGACGGCCUUCGGGUUGUAAACCGCUUUCGCCUGUGACGAAGCGUGAGUGACGGUAAUGGGUAAAGAAGCACCGGCUAACUACGUG
RNAcentral lists this ribosomal RNA (468 nucleotides) under uncultured bacterium. Its description in RNAcentral is "partial 16S ribosomal RNA". It matches the Rfam family "Bacterial small subunit ribosomal RNA", at positions 28 to 507 of the family's 1533-position model. The record is from RNAcentral.